AAAUGAAAUGAAGACAGCUUUGGCUAUCUUGGCAGUAAUUCACCUUCUGAGUUUCCACCUGACUGCUGUCUUAAAUCUUAGAUUUGAAAGAACAGUAUAGAGCAUGACAUCCUUCCUAUGAGUAGAAUUGUACAAAGGAACAGAAAUAUGUCUGUAUGAAUUAUCAUACAGAACAAGGCCUUGGGAAUCACUUAGAGUUCCUGAUAUCAAUGCAGACCAACAAUUAAACCCUAGGUCCUCAGUAGCUUCUGGACAGUUAUAAUCAGGACAAUAACACCAAUGGAGAGGGUAAUGCUGCAGGUGAGGUGUAAAUAGAUGGGAGAGACAGCGUGUGAUGAGAGACAUAAAUGGAGAAGACAGAAAAACUGGAAGAAAACUGAAGAAGAGACAGGAAGAGGUUCAUGAACAGACAGCUUUCCUGAAACAAGCCUUUGUUCUCUUAUGGACAAUUUUAGUGGGAGCAGUCAUCUGACAACAAAUUUUUACCAUACUUGAAGUGCCACUCUGAAAGUAAUUCCAGAAGGAAAAGGGUACGGAACAGGUGUGUGCAACUCAGCUGAGGAUAGAUUACUGCAGACUUUGACUUAUCUUGGACUGCCUUCCAGUAACUACCCUGUUGAAACAAAUCCCAUCCAUUUAUUCCAAAUUUGCUCUUCAUUUAUGGAAAGAAUGGGUCUAAUUGACAUGAAGUUGAAAAUCAUCAAUAUAAUCCAGAAGUUUUAUUGUAAUUAAAGGAGAGAUGAAAAGCAAAAUAGGGCUCUAUUUUUCUCUUACAUAGUACAAAUAAUUCAGCAGAAACCAACAGAAUUAUGCUGCUACCUGCAAAUGCUACUGUGAUACCUCCCCAUCUUCCCUAUCUUUGCUAUGCAUAUAUGUUGAUAUGGAAUAUCCUGACAU
This 897-nucleotide long non-coding RNA is filed under the name Ficedula albicollis (Collared flycatcher). RNAcentral's name for it is "lncRNA (ENSFALG00000026745.1)". Lineage: Eukaryota; Metazoa; Chordata; Aves; Passeriformes; Muscicapidae. The record is from RNAcentral.